RNAcentral lists this ribosomal RNA (468 nucleotides) under uncultured bacterium. RNAcentral's name for it is "partial 16S ribosomal RNA". It matches the Rfam family "Bacterial small subunit ribosomal RNA", at positions 28 to 507 of the family's 1533-position model. The record is from RNAcentral.
GACGAACGCUGGCGGCGUGCUUAAUACAUGCAAGUAGAACGGAAAGGCCCGGCGUUUGUGGUGUGCUCGAGUGGCGAAAGGGUGAGUAUCACGUGAGUAACCUGUCCUUGACUUUGGGAUAACUUCAGGAAACUGGGGCUAAUACCGGAUAGAAGCUCCUGCUGCAUGGUGGGGGUUGGUAAGUUUCGGCGGUUGGGGAUGGACUUGCGGCUUAUCAGCUUGUUGGUGGGGUAGUGGCGUACCAAGGCUCCGACGGGUAGCCGGCCUGAGAGGGUGACCGGCCACAUUGGGACUGGGAUGCGGCCCGGACUCCUACGGGAGGCAGCGGUGGGAAAUAUUGCACACUGGGCGGCAGCCUGAUGCAGCAACGCCGCGUGCGGGAUGACGGUCUUCGGGUUGUAACCCGUUUUCGCCUGUGACGAAGCGUGAGUGACGGUAAUGUGUAAAGAAGCACCGGCUAACUACGUG